CGAGUCGGCCGGGCGACCGCGGUGACGGGAACGGGUACCUCAGGUGCCGCUGCCCGACGCCGAGGAAAGUCCGGACUCCACAGAGCAGGGCGGUUGUUAACGGCAACCCGGGGUGACCCGCGGGACAGUGCCACAGAAAACAGACCGCCGCGCGCAGGCGCGGUAAGGGUGAAACGGUGCGGUAAGAGCGCACCAGCGCCCCGGGUGACCGGGGCGGCUAGGUAAACCCCGCCCGGAGCAAGGUCGAAGGUCGCACCUCGCGGUGCGGCUGCGCAGGUGUUGGAGGGCUGCUCGCCCGAGCCUGCGGGUGGACCGCUCGAGGCACCCGGCGACGGUGUGUCCAGAUGGAUGGUCGCCUACCGAUGCGAAUCGGGGACAGGAUCCGGCUUACAGGUCGGCUCGUCCG
The sequence is a non-coding RNA, 406 nucleotides long. It matches the Rfam family "Bacterial RNase P class A". From Rfam's summary of the family: Ribonuclease P (RNase P) is a ubiquitous endoribonuclease, found in archaea, bacteria and eukarya as well as chloroplasts and mitochondria. Its best characterised activity is the generation of mature 5'-ends of tRNAs by cleaving the 5'-leader elements of precursor-tRNAs. The record is from Rfam.